GGAACACAGGUGCUGCAUGGCUGUCGUCAGCUCGUGUCGUGAGAUGUUGGGUUAAGUCCCGCAACGAGCGCAACCCUUGUCAUUAGUUGCCAUCAUUUGGUUGGGCACUCUAAUGAGACUGCCGGUGACAAACCGGAGGAAGGUGGGGAUGACGUCAAGUCCUCAUGGCCCUUAUGGGUAGGGCUUCACACGUCAUACAAUGGUCGGUACAGAGGGUUGCCAACCCGCGAGGGGGAGCUAAUCCCACAAAGCCGAUCGUAGUCCGGAUCGCAGUCUGCAACUCGACUGCGUGAAGUCGGAAUCGCUAGUAAUCGUGGAUCAGCAUGUCACGGUGAAUACGUUCCCGGGUCUU
This 352-nucleotide ribosomal RNA is filed under the name uncultured Rhodocyclaceae bacterium. RNAcentral's name for it is "bacterial SSU rRNA". It matches the Rfam family "Bacterial small subunit ribosomal RNA", at positions 1029 to 1382 of the family's 1533-position model. Lineage: Bacteria; Pseudomonadati; Pseudomonadota; Betaproteobacteria; Rhodocyclales; Rhodocyclaceae. The record is from RNAcentral.